Molecule: non-coding RNA, 220 nt
Organism: Pelobates cultripes (western spadefoot toad)
Lineage: Eukaryota; Metazoa; Chordata; Amphibia; Anura; Pelobatidae
Source: the annotation of a GenBank genome assembly
CGUGGCCAUGCUUCUAGGUGGUCAGUUGUUGGAUAUUUGACAACACCAUUUUCCUGUAGCUGUGAUUCAUCCAUAGUGGCCCAUGCUUUUGCCAUAGGCCCAAGAUCAUUCUAUGAUAUUGUUUUCAACUUGGUCACAGGGACAUGUGGAGUGGCAGUGUCCCAAUGACGGUACAAAUACUUGAGUUCCGGAGGUAGAUGAAUCAAGACCAUACUGUUGC